Molecule: small RNA, 825 nt
Filed under: Pongo abelii (Sumatran orangutan)
Lineage: Eukaryota; Metazoa; Chordata; Mammalia; Primates; Hominidae
Description: retained intron
Source: RNAcentral
ACGCUCAAUAUGCUAUCUCCUGGGACAGCCAGAGCCCCCAGCACCUGGCACUGCCCUGCCAGCCCCUGACCGGAAGCGCUUCUCCCUGCAGAGCUAUGCGGAUUAUAUCAGUGCCGAUGAACUGGCCCAAGUGGAACAGAUGCUGGCGCACCUGACCUCUGCAUCUGCCCAGGCAGCAGCUGCCUCCCUGGUGAGUGGGACCACGGUGCACAGGUCCAUGCCAGUUGAAUAUGUGUGCACUCCUACAUAGGCACAACGGACAUCCACAUAGCCAGGCAUCCAACUCCAGCCCACCCUUCACUCUCCUCCCUGCAGCCCACCAGUGAGGAGGACCUCUGCCCCAUCUGCUAUGCCCACCCCAUCUCUGCUGUGUUCCAGCCCUGUGGCCACAAGUCCUGCAAGUAAGUGGGCCCCACAGCUUGGUGGUGGGGAGAGCAGUAGGUACAUGCAGGGCAGUCCUCAUCCCCUCCCCUGUUGUAGGGCCUGUAUCAACCAGCACCUGAUGAACAACAAGGACUGCUUCUUCUGCAAAGCCACCAUCGUGUCUGUAGAGGACUGGGAGAAGGGAGCCAAUACGAGUACUACCUCCUCAGCUGCCUAGCCCUCACAGCCUGCGCCAUCCUGGAACCUCCACUUUUGAACCCAAAGCCAGGCUGGGCCCUAUUUAUGAGCUCCCUUUGCCCUUCUCCUGUAUCCCCCACCACCACAUCCAACCUCCUUGCCUGCCUGUAUCCUCAUUGGCGGGAGCCCAGCCAUGGCCCUAAUUGUGCCUGAGCUUGACUUUCAGUCAGGGCCACAGUGAGCAUUAAAUUAUUAUUCCAUACA